Molecule: long non-coding RNA, 4596 nt
Organism: Macrobrachium nipponense
Lineage: Eukaryota; Metazoa; Arthropoda; Malacostraca; Decapoda; Palaemonidae
Exons: 3
Source: RefSeq, a predicted model, not a curated record
AGAGAGAGAGAGAGAGAGAGAGAGAGAGAGAGAAUGAAUGAAUGAAUGAAUGCACACUAACGUUCAAACUAAGGUUAGGUAAAGAUUUGCCAUUAUGAAACCAAGAAUAAUUAGCUUGUACUCUUGUUUACAAAGGCAGUUCACGAUGGCUACACGUCUUAUAAAGGUCAGACAGAAAUAUAACAAUUAAACGAUGCUUCAGAUGUUCUCAUGUUCUCAGUCGUGUAAAGUAAGGUUUUUUUAAAAGAGGGCGUCAAUAGAGACAAUCAGUUUUGAUUUAAAAAAAAUUAUUUGCUCGUACGUAACGUAAAGAAACUAUUUCAAUUGUAAAACCCCGUUAGAACGACGAGCGUAAUAUUCUAAUGUAGGCCGAAUAUAAUGAAAACAAGAAGACAGUGGUUUAGCUUAACUCAAAUUUUUAUAAGCAAUUGUUUUGUACGUUUCUUAAAAACUCCAAAAUCAAAAUGUCUGAGAAUUAAAAAUUGAGUCUAGACGAAUACUCUUACGGCAACACUAUUGUAUUAGUCGAGUGGCUAUUUUGGGUAAAAGUAAAUCAAUAAAUAAAUAGGUUAGCCACAGAUCCAGGGACCUAUAUUAUCAAAUACGAAAAUCAAUAUAACGAUAGACAUAAAUAGACAUAAAUAUGAAUAUAUCAAUGCAGGGAAAUCGAAGAACGACUGUUGCGGCGCAAAGCUUAAACGUACACUUCCCGCGGCCCGUUAUUGGCGGUGCUACAAACAUUAUAUUAUACUAAUAAAACAAAGAUCAUUCACCAUACUGGUUUGCGGAAUUACUGUUUUUGCAUCCUUUGGUCAACUUUCAUUAUUUAUCUCCAAUAAAAUUUCACUCUCCGUUCACCAUAAAACAGUCCUUGGUUAGGGAAGAGUUUCGUGAAACCGAAUUGUUUUGACUAUUUGAUCCUUUGAGGAAUAAGUUACUUGAGGAAAAAUCUUCUUGCUAAUGUUAAAUUUUUAAAAGUGUAUAGCUCAUUGUGGUGUGUUGAAGUCAAGACGAAGUGUUACUUAUUCCUCGUGUGGCGAAAUGAAAUAAGUGGCCAUGAUGGAAAUUCACAACGAGUAAAGAAAAUUGGUUAAGAAGACGAAGAACAACAGCAUCUACAUAAACAACAACAAAAGCUACAACAGCAACCAUGCUCCUGAACAACAAUAACAACAACAACAAAAGCUACAGCAAUGACAACGAUGGCGACGUCCAGCCUUGGCCGCGGUAAUGUGCUGCUUCUCCGUCACCGUCGACUUGGCAACGCCAUAUGGCAGGCUCAGCGGUAACUUCAUCUACACCAUAGUCUGAGUGAACAUCAGAGAGACUGUUCUUUUGCAACGUUGAACGACGUGUCCCAUGGCAGUAAGCGAAAGCAAGAUUCAACACAUCUAAGGAUAUGGUAUUUCCCGACUGUGGUUCACGGACGGCAUGGUUGCAUCGGAUCAGGAUGACCCAGAGUAGCUUGUUGUUAAAUGCCAUCUCGUCGGUUGACGAAGAACGGCAUCGCCGCGGAUCUUAUGAAAGUCUUCGGUUUUACAAACCUUUAUUCGUCGAUCUCUUUUUCCAUCUCUCUAGGUCAAUACUUUUGCGAAUUUUACUCAUAUCAGUUUUCUUCAGUAAUUCAAGAGAAACGGCAAUAACAUUAAAUAUUUAUUUAAAGAAUGUGAAAAAAUCAAUAGUGUUGAAAUUUCGGUUGCGUUUCUCUUACUGUUUCAACAUUAAAUGAUUUCACUUUAACGGAAAUUACUGUAGAAAAAAGAAGGUAAAUGCCAAAAUCAUACUUAAUUGCUGAAUCGUGGAUGUGCUCCCAGUACAGAAAGUAAAGUGGGAAUGUGAGUCGAUUGUUGAGCCAUUUUUCCUUUAUGGAAGUGAAGUGCGAAUGUGGAGUGUGAUUAAAAAAGAAGAGGACGGAAGAUAUUUAGAUGAACUCUGUGUGUGUGUGUGUAUAUAUUUAUAUGGAGUAAGAAGGAUUAAGAAAUGUGAGGGAAGGUAGAAGGGGUGAAAAGGUUAACGUAGGUGAAAGGAGAGACGAGAAGAAUUUUACAUCGUGUAUUUCAGCUGAGAGAGAGAGAGAGAGAGAGAGAGAGAGGAGACGAGAGAGAGAGAGAGAGAGAGAGAGAGAGAGAGACUAUAAUUCCAAAAAAGGAAACGAAAAACCCACAGCAAAUUUAAACAUCGUGGCAGACCGCCCCCUCCCCACCAAACCCCACCACACACAAUGUCAAAAUCUCCAAUAACAAUAGUGGAAGGUUUAGGUACGAUCUCCCUUCUGAUAACAAUUCCACUUUCCUUUCUCAGCUUCCAGCCCCCCUCCCCCCAAGAAAAGAAAUGAAUGCAUUUCGCUUGGGGUGACUGACGUAAAGCCUAGAAAAUAAGAACAAAAAUUCAAACAUAAAAUUAUGCUUACGGAAAUAAUGAUUGUAUUUAUUGGGAAACAUUUUUUUUUUCGAGGAUAAUGUACAUCAUCCAGGGUAAUCAUCUCUUAAAAACUGCUUCUCGGUUCAGUCACGUAAAACGAAGCAACGUAUUGUGUUUAAACAGCUAAUAGUUUGCAAGCAGGCUUCACGAUUUUGCACCGAAAAUCGGUGUACGAAGUCCAUGAGCUGUGGUACAGCUUUUGUCAUUUUGUUAAGAUAACCCAGCAAUGACUAAACAUGGUAACCGUAAUUAUCUUACUUUGUCAAAGGGUAUAAGGGCAUAGUGGAGGUGAGCUGUAUGUAAAAUCAUUGAAUUUACUUAAUAUCAAACAUGAAUCAGAAUGUGAAAUAUUUUUAGAAUUUAUUUAUGACAAGCUUCCGCAGACUAGAUUUUAAGAUAUCGUUUUGUACAGUGAAGGUUUUAUGAAAAAGAAAACCUAAUAACAUUAACUGUUGUCCUAACAUCAUAACCAGUUUUCGCAAUACAGAUUUUGGUGACAAAUUUAGAACUCUGUAACUUGGACUUCGUGAGGAAGAGACCAUUCAAGGACAUAAACAAGUGGGAACAGGAAGUCUUAAACAAGGAGCUAGCCAGUGAUCACCAGGCUAGGAAAGCCCAGGAUGAGCUAAUUAGAGGCCAAAGUACAGACAUAACCAGUGCAUCAAAAGUGAUGGAGGAAUUGGCCUUCUGUGGAUGGGAGGCAAGAGGAAAUUUCAGGAAAUCAAUAGCCACAAACAAAAUUUACUUCUGCAAAUCUGUCAAUCAUGAGACACCUGACGAAACUGAUGCCAGGAAAAAAUGUUGAAUGUGAUAAUUACAGCUUCUACUUGCCAGGAAUUGGUAUAAAAAUUAUUGCCAAAUUGGUACAGUUUUUGUACAGGAAUUCCAAUGAUGCCUCCUAUGCCGGGCAUACUGUUGGAGAAAGCAUAUUCAGAAAAUUACGUCAAGCAUAGGGACCCAGUAGGAGCGGUCGAAAUAGAUUUUAGCCCUUAGAGGACCUCUUGAAGGACACCCCGCCAAUAUGAUAUCAGGCAGAUAGGCAAUGGUUGCUUGCAUGCAUAACUAUACUAUUUUUUUCCAUCUGUCCAUCCGCCUGUGGUGUUUGCGCAUGGUAACACUGCGUACCGGGCUUUAAAUAAAUCCUAUUUCGAAUAUUAACGGUGUAAUUCGCAUACAGUAAAUUAUUAAAAUACUUUUCAGUUGCAAAUGUAUACCCAGAUAUCCUUUUAUUUACCUGAAACUUACACAUAGUGUAACUAAUUAAAGCCCGGGACGCAGUGUUACCAUGCGAAAACACCACAGACAGAUGGACAGAUGGAAAAAAACAGUAUAGAAGACACUAAAUGGGAGAACCCUUAUGACGUUACACAGAAUCCUCUGUUGAAUGAUUAUGAUCUACGCCAAAUGAAGAAGGUUUCCUGGUAGUUCUUCCUCCAGCCUGAAGUAUACACACUGCAGCUGAAGAUAUAGAAAAUGGCGAGAGGGGGAGGGGAUCAGUGUCAUACUUUCAUUUAUACAAAAUUCUUAUAUUUAACGAAGAUUCUACAGUUCUAGCCAUUUGAUAUAUACGAGUACACAUCUCUUAUUCAUAAAGAAUGAUCUUAUACCCUUAUAUCGGUAGAAACAAGGCAGUUAGCGUUAAGAGGUCUCGCCUACCGAUAAUCAUUGUUUUUCAAGUUGAAGCAGCUAUUUAGUUCUCAGCCAGGUAUCAGGCACUGAUUAAAAAGAUAUAUAUAUAUAUAUAUAUCUUGUUUUUUAAGUGGUUCCGAGGUCUUAGUUGUAAGCUUUAAUUUUCCCUUUACCGGUUUAAUUUGUUUGCAAGUGAAGUCCUUAUUUCUUAUCAUUAUCGGUCUUUUUAUAUAAAAAAAUUAUGCUGUCCACCAUAUCCGUCAUUAACAAUUGAAUUCACUACUGUCACGAAACACGCUAUGUUUAUUAUUGGAUCAUUACUGUUAUUGUGUAUUCAUAUCAAUCAAAACAAAUAGUGAUAAAUUGCUACGCUGUUAAUAUAAUCUAAUAUUAUUGUGUAAAAAAAUAGUUCUAGCAGAGAGAUGUCUAGUGACAAAAUAAAAACAAUUACUAAUGUACGAGAGAGAGAGAGAGAGAGAGAGAGAGAGAGAGAGAGAGAGAGAGAGAGAGAGAGAGAGAGAGAGAGAGAGAGAGAGAGAGAAAUAA